UCGAUUCCCUUAGUAGCGGCGAGCGAAACGGGAAGAGCCCAAACCAACAAGCUUGCUUGUUGGGGUUGUAGGACACUCUAUACGGAGUUACAAAGGACGACAUUAGACGAAUCAUCUGGAAAGAUGAAUCAAAGAAGGUAAUAAUCCUGUAGUCGAAAAUGUUGUCUCUCUUGAGUGGAUCCUGAGUACGACGGAGCACGUGAAAUUCCGUCGGAAUCUGGGAGGACCAUCUCCUAAGGCUAAAUACUCUCUAGUGACCGAUAGUGAACCAGUACCGUGAGGGAAAGGUGAAAAGCACCCCGGAAGGGGAGUGAAAUAGAACCUGAAACCGUGUGCUUACAAGUAGUCAGAGCCCGUUAAUGGGUGAUGGCGUGCCUUUUGUAGAAUGAACCGGCGAGUUACGAUUUGAUGCAAGGUUAAGCAGUAAA
RNAcentral lists this ribosomal RNA (428 nucleotides) under Staphylococcus aureus. RNAcentral's name for it is "partial 23S ribosomal RNA". It matches the Rfam family "Bacterial large subunit ribosomal RNA", at positions 231 to 657 of the family's 2925-position model. The record is from RNAcentral. Lineage: Bacteria; Bacillati; Bacillota; Bacilli; Caryophanales; Staphylococcaceae.